Long non-coding RNA from Labeo rohita (rohu), 203 nucleotides. RefSeq lists it as uncharacterized. The record is from RefSeq and is a predicted model, not a curated record. Lineage: Eukaryota; Metazoa; Chordata; Actinopteri; Cypriniformes; Cyprinidae. The transcript has 4 exons.
CUCCCUUUGACUGAGCGGUCAUCGCUUGACGGAAGAGCUUUAUCAGGUUGUCCUCCGAUUGUUGUAAGUGAUCAAUCUAGUCAUUCUGCAUCUUGGACUUGCCAUGUUCAACACACUGCUGCUGCACCCCAAAUGCUCCACAGCAUUGAGCGGCUUUGGCUUUAUUUGUCAAGAUCAUCUGAAAAGAGUGCAUCUGUGCCAUG